UAGGGAAUCUUCCGCAAUGGGCGAAAGCCUGACGGAGCAACGCCGCGUGAGUGAUGAAGGUCUUCGGAUCGUAAAACUCUGUUAUUAGGGAAGAACAAAUGUGUAAGUAACUAUGCACGUCUUGACGGUACCUAAUCAGAAAGCCACGGCUAACUACGUGCCAGCAGCCGCGGUAAUACGUAGGUGGCAAGCGUUAUCCGGAAUUAUUGGGCGUAAAGCGCGCGUAGGCGGCUUUUUAAGUCUGAUGUGAAAGCCCACGGCUCAACCGUGGAGGGUCAUUGGAAACUGGAAAACUGGAGUGCAGAAGAGGAAAGUGGAAUUCCAGGUGUAGCGGUGAAAUGCGCAGAGAUAUGGAGGAACACCAGUGGCGAAGGCGACUUUCUGGUCUGUAACUGACGCUGAUGUGCGAAAGCGUGGGGAUCAAACAGG
RNAcentral lists this ribosomal RNA (429 nucleotides) under Actinomycetes bacterium. Its description in RNAcentral is "Actinobacteria bacterium partial 16S ribosomal RNA". It matches the Rfam family "Bacterial small subunit ribosomal RNA", at positions 355 to 776 of the family's 1533-position model. The record is from RNAcentral. Lineage: Bacteria; Bacillati; Actinomycetota; Actinomycetes.